Molecule: ribosomal RNA, 307 nt
Filed under: uncultured bacterium
Lineage: Bacteria
Description: bacterial SSU rRNA
Rfam family: Bacterial small subunit ribosomal RNA
Source: RNAcentral
AUUGAACGCUGGCGGCAUGCCUUACACAUGCAAGUCGAACGGCAGCACGGACUUCGGUCUGGUGGCGAGUGGCGAACGGGUGAGUAAUACAUCGGAACGUGCCUAGUAGUGGGGGAUAACUACUCGAAAGGGUUGCUAAUACCGCAUGAUGCAGCUGGGUCGCAUGACCCUGGCUGCCAAAGAUUUAUCGCUCUGAGAUGGCCUCGCGUCUGAUUAGCUAGUAGGCGGGGUAACGGCCCACCUAGGCGACGAUCAGUAGCCGGACUGAGAGGUUGACCGGCCACAUUGGGACUGAGACACGGCCCAG